GUACACACCGCCCGUCACACCAUGGGAGUGGGUUGCAAAAGAAGUAGGUAGCUUAACCUUCGGGAGGGCGCUUACCACUUUGUGAUUCAUGACUGGGGUGAAGUCGUAACAAGGUAACCGUAGGGGAACCUGCGGUUGGAUCACCUCCUUA
This 151-nucleotide ribosomal RNA is filed under the name Escherichia coli. RNAcentral's name for it is "partial 16S ribosomal RNA". It matches the Rfam family "Bacterial small subunit ribosomal RNA", at positions 1383 to 1533 of the family's 1533-position model. Lineage: Bacteria; Pseudomonadati; Pseudomonadota; Gammaproteobacteria; Enterobacterales; Enterobacteriaceae. The record is from RNAcentral. RNAcentral also lists the same sequence under 3 other names.